RNAcentral lists this ribosomal RNA (274 nucleotides) under Salmonella enterica. Its description in RNAcentral is "partial 23S ribosomal RNA". It matches the Rfam family "Bacterial large subunit ribosomal RNA", at positions 1 to 266 of the family's 2925-position model. Lineage: Bacteria; Pseudomonadati; Pseudomonadota; Gammaproteobacteria; Enterobacterales; Enterobacteriaceae. The record is from RNAcentral.
GGGUUGUGAGGUUAAGCGACCAAGCGUACACGGUGGAUGCCCUGGCAGUCAGAGGCGAUGAAGGACGUGCUAAUCUGCGAAAAGCGCCGGUAAGGUGAUAUGAACCGUUAUAGCCGGCGAUGUCCGAAUGGGGAAACCCAGUGUGACUCGUCACACUAUCAUUACGUGAAUCCAUAGCGUAAUGAGGCGAACCGGGGGAACUGAAACAUCUAAGUACCCCGAGGAAAAGAAAUCAACCGAGAUUCCCCCAGUAGCGGCGAGCGAACGGGGAGGA